GUGAGUGUAGCUCAGCAGGUCAGAGCGCCUGACUGUGGAUCAGGUGGUCGCGGGUUCAAGUCCCGCCACUCACCCCA
Molecule: transfer RNA, 77 nt
Filed under: Candidatus Poribacteria bacterium
Lineage: Bacteria; Candidatus Poribacteria
Also listed under: 1 other name
Description: tRNA-His
Rfam family: tRNA
About the family: Transfer RNA (tRNA) molecules are approximately 80 nucleotides in length. Their secondary structure includes four short double-helical elements and three loops (D, anti-codon, and T loops).
Source: RNAcentral